GGGUGAGGCAGUUGGCGCCUUUUUUGACCCGCGCCAGUGCUGUCGGGAUUCAGCGGCGCUGGCGCUAUUUCCACUGCUUUCCCCUGAGCCUUUUGGCCUCAUCUGCAUGGAGAGGCUCUCGAAGUGCCAUACAGGUGCCAGGGUGAUGCUGCCAUGUUUGCUUAUGUGAUGGUGUCCAAGCCACCCUUGCCAUGCCACCCAGCUCUCCUUGCAAAACAGCGUGAGGCGCACGUGUGUUGCCAUGCACGGUGAUGUUUCCAACACAAAUGCCCCUUGCACAGUUGUCGUCAGUGAGGCACUUGGCGCGUGUGCAGCUCUUUGACUAGGUGAUACCCCAUCACCACACCUGUGAAGGUUGCUAUAAUGCAAAACCGUCCACUCGGGAGCUGCUGCAUGGUUAUUUUUUAGCUCAGGGUGUCCCCCCAUAACAUGCUGUGGUUCCCCUCUGCCCUGCUUUCUUUUCUCUGUCAAUUAUUAUUCUAAAAAGAGGUGCCCAGGGAAAGGCGGUGCUGUAGGAUUGGCAUUUAGACCUGCUGGAGUGCCCCAGGGAAAGAAAAACAGCACCGCAAUGCUACCUGAUGAAGUGACAGUAGGCUUCACUGGUGAAAGUGUUGGGCAAAAGAGCACAAAAUAGAUGAACAGAAAGUUUAAAGCUGUACGGUGAGACCAGAGAUUUCUUAAGACUGGUGCAAGUGUAUCUUAGCCCCAGUAGGUAAGAAGGAAAACAUCCACGACUGCAGAAGUUUCGGAGAAAGGAAGCUCACGGAAUGAAGACGGGAUGGAACGAAGCUCAUGGAAUGAGACUCCGGAACAUGUUGCUGCUACGAUUGGUUGAACCUUCACUCAGACAAGAAUAGUUUGCCUUUAAGAAAGGGUUCACUCUACAACUGCUGGAGGAAGGAAUGCACUUCAGGUAUGCUUUUAUCAAAGAACUGUCUGCUUCCCAAAGUAUGAAGGGAUGGCUUCUUCCCCAAGAUCCUGCAUUUGGAGAUGGCAAUAGGCUACCAUUGGUCUUCCACAAAGGCUCUGAGGGUGCCUGUACACAAGCCUAGAGGCUGCUCUGAGGCACUAUAAUUACAGCAUGUAUUUAUGCAUCAGCAUCCCAACACUAAAAAAUGGUGGUGGAGGCACUUUAUCUAAUGCUCAUUCGACAAGCUUUAUCUAAAGUGCCCAUGCCACCAUUUUGAAGUACAGGGAUGCUGAUAAAUGAAUGCUCUGGGUGCUUUAUUUAGAGUGACUCUUGGAGCCUCCAUAAUGAAAGCAUGCCCCCCGCCAUGCCUGCUCCCAGGGCACAUAUGAAAAUACCCUCGGAUAUUGAAGAGAAUCUUACCAUUUGGAAUCAAGAAGAGAAAGAGAAGAAGAUUAGUAAAAGGAACUGCUGCUAAGUCCAUCAAUGACAUGCUGAAUAUGAAGGCUUUUACAGGUAUUCAUAAUGUGUACUCUGCUUCUUAAAGAAAGAAAUAGCUCAAGAGUCACCAGACAAUUCAAAUGGCCUAAUGACUGCCUGAGUGCCAAUUAAUAGUCUUUAUUGUAAUUAAAUUGUUUGAUGUAAGAGAACUUAAUACAUGCAAAAAAAAAGGAACACACAGUGAAAACAAGAACACGACAGGCAUGCAUACUGUAUAAACAGAAAAUGUUUAAAGAUCAAGAUCAUCUUUGGGUCCAGUUUCUCAUAGUAUAUAAGUUGUCAUUUUUAAGCUACAUAGAAAAUGAGAAUGAAACAACAGAUUGGUUUAUUCUACUCUACCUGAGCAACAAACAGAUUACAAUUAGGGUAGCUUCUAUUUUCCUUUUUGCGUCUAAACAACACUUAGCUGCAGGGAGCAAUUCUACCCUGUAGUAGAGAUAUGUAAGUGUAUGCAUGUAGUUUGAGCAUUUACAUGGCUAUGUACACAUGCCCAUUCUAGACAUGUAUGAGCAUCCAAGUUCAGAAAAUGUAUACAAGCAGAAACCCAGGGUUCCUCAGGAGGACAACCCUCCUGUGUUUUAUUUCCAAUAGCUGGAUGGUUAGGGCACUUAACCUAGGAAGCUGGAUUCUAGGCCUCCCUUACUCUGAUUCCCCAGAACAUUGCUUGAACCACUAUGCCACAAGCCAGGUAUUACCCAGUGGCAUCUCUGACAAUCCCUUGAAGUUGACUUUCAGGACAGCUGAGGGAGGUAUGUGGAACCUGGGUAUGUGUUUUAGUGAGAGAUGCUAGCUUGGAAGGGCACAGGUCCCUGUUUCUAGCCUUAACAUUUGUUCUUGAUUGGCUAAAAAUUUCAAUUUGCAUGAAUGACCCUUUAUUCAAUAACUAUUAAAUGCAAGGGACAGUGUCUCAGCUUCAGAAGGAGUCUGGAUAAUGUAGAGCACAUGUGUGGUGGUUAGAAUGCUGUUCUGGGAAGUCAAGAGAGAUAUAGGUUCAGACUCCUCUGAGAGAGGGGCAGAGAGGGAGGACUGAUAGCCCUGCUUCUCGGGUGCCCUAACCUCUCAGGCAAGUGCCCUAACUUGCUGCAAUUUUUCAGGACUUAUGCUCAGGUAUAUGCACACAUCCAUAUGCUUACACAUCCACAGCAUAAAGUGAGGGACAAAAACAGCCAGGUAGACAUCUAGAAGAGUGACACUAGGAUGCACAAAGGGAGACAGAAUUCUACCCAUGUGUAAUGAUUGCUUCUUGGCGUUUUGGCUAAGAUUCAGCAUCUGUUCUUAUCACUUUAGUGUCCCAUAUUUUCAUUGUCAGCCACUUGGGAACAUAGGACUGGAAGGGGCCUCUCUGGAUAUUGGGGGCAUGUCCAGACGAGCCUGCACGUACAUCUUGCAGCAUCUCAAACCCCAAGCAGAAGGCUGGAGACGAGUGGGGGAAUGAGCAGUAGGAUGGAGACAAGCAGGAUAAUGCUUCCAGCCUCCUGCUUGUUCCCCUGGAGACGAGCAGGAGGCUGGAGACAAGCCCCUGGAAAUAAGAUGAAGACUUCCCCUGCUCUCCAGCCUCGUUCUCUACUAGUGCCGGUGAAUGUGUGUGUGGGUGGGGCUGGGAGAGCAAGUGAGUGGUGCGGGGAAUGAUGGGGGGGGCACAGGGGGAGCAAGCCUCCUGCUUGUUCUCCUAUUCUCUCCAGUCCCCUGCUUGUUCUGCUUCUCUCCAGCCUCCACACUUUCAUACAGAGGACCCACACUUCCUAAGCAGCCUCCACACCCACAGUCCUGCCACACCUACCCACACACUGACUCGCAUCCCCCCACUUCUCACCCCCUACUGAAAACCCCCUAUCCCCCCCAUCACACACCCACAAUGUCAUAAGGAAACCAAAAGCAAACAUUAAAACAUAGAUAUUUAGGAUUUAUUUUAUUAUGAUACUAGAGACACUAGUUGGACUUCCAAAUUUCUUUAACAGUGUAAAUAAAGCAAUAAAACAUUG
Long non-coding RNA from Alligator mississippiensis (American alligator), 3390 nucleotides. RefSeq lists it as uncharacterized. The record is from RefSeq and is a predicted model, not a curated record. Lineage: Eukaryota; Metazoa; Chordata; Crocodylia; Alligatoridae. The transcript has 2 exons.